Xylaria arbuscula is the source of this 107-nucleotide non-coding RNA. NCBI's taxonomy places the organism in Eukaryota, Fungi, Ascomycota, Sordariomycetes, Xylariales, Xylariaceae. The record is from the annotation of a GenBank genome assembly.
GGCCUCGUGGCCCAAUGGCAAGGCGUCUGACUACGACAAUUCUAGGGGUCAAACCCGCCGGAGAAAUCGCGAUCAGGAGAUUCUGGGUUCGACCCCCAGCGAGGUCA